CACAGUGGAAUUGCCCGCAUUGGGGAAAACCGCAGGGGUCAGUCCCCCCCCCCAACGCAAUGGAUGAGCCUCACCCUGGGAAACCCCCCCCCCCGCUUUAUUAUAGUAGUUCCCCCAGCAGUGUCUAGGGGUGUGAUUGCUGCAGAGCCCUAGGAGGCCAGUGUGAUGGUGUCUGCACAGAGAAUGGGCCGGCACUCUGUCUCCUGGCAACUGAUGGCCUGGGCCUCUCCUCUGCAAGGUGCCAACUGAAGGUGUUGGAGAACAAAGAGAUCAGGUGACCUCCUGGCCUGGGAAAGAGACAAAGGCGAGAGGAGGGGGCUGGAGAGGUUUCAGUUUGGAGCUGGCGGGGAAAAUGGAGGGGAGCCCAGAAGGGGCUCUGGCCUCCCUGCCCCUCCCCCCAGACGAACCUAACUGAGGGCAUCCUGUUGUCUGUACCUGCAAGACCUGUCUUGGACCGUGUUCCCGUCGUCUAAAUAAACCUUCUGCUUUACUGGC
Molecule: long non-coding RNA, 495 nt
Organism: Malaclemys terrapin pileata
Lineage: Eukaryota; Metazoa; Chordata; Testudines; Emydidae
Exons: 2
Source: RefSeq, a predicted model, not a curated record